RNAcentral lists this unclassified non-coding RNA (320 nucleotides) under plant metagenome. RNAcentral describes it as "partial contains 5.8S ribosomal RNA, internal transcribed spacer 2, and large subunit ribosomal RNA". The stretch from base 1 to 105 matches the Rfam family "5.8S ribosomal RNA", at positions 50 to 154 of the family's 154-position model. The record is from RNAcentral.
GAAAUGCGAUAAGUAAUGUGAAUUGCAGAAUUCAGUGAAUCAUCGAAUCUUUGAACGCACAUCGCGCCCGCCAGUAUUCUGGCGGGCAUGCCUGUUCGAGCGUCAUUACAACCCUCAGGCCCCCGGGCCUGGCGUUGGGGAUCGGCGGAAGCCCCCUGCGGGCACAACGCCGUCCCCCAAAUACAGUGGCGGUCCCGCCGCAGCUUCCAUUGCGUAGUAGCUAACACCUCGCAACUGGAGAGCGGCGCGGCCACGCCGUAAAACACCCAACUUCUGAAUGUUGACCUCGAAUCAGGUAGGAAUACCCGCUGAACUUAAGC